Myotis lucifugus (little brown bat) is the source of this 1432-nucleotide long non-coding RNA. RefSeq lists it as uncharacterized. The transcript has 3 exons. The record is from RefSeq and is a predicted model, not a curated record. NCBI's taxonomy places the organism in Eukaryota, Metazoa, Chordata, Mammalia, Chiroptera, Vespertilionidae.
UCGACGGAGCAUGCGCAGCGCCGCCCGCACAUGCUCAGUGAGAGCCGCCGCCAGCCCACGGGAGAGUUUCCGGGACGAAAUCCACUUUCCGGGUUUUCAGCGGGGCCCGCCGGGUCGUUGCCGGGCGAGAAGUUCCGGCGCUCACGGUCCCGUUCCACAUUCCGGUCUGGAGCUCCCCGGGGCCCCGUGGAGCUGCCCGGCUUGCAGGGCGCCCCUGGCUUGCUGCUUUGCCUCCUUUGAACAUCCUGACAUGUUCUCACCGCGCUGCCCGCAGCACAGAGUCGGUGCUAAUGAGAGUCCUUGCUCACGGAGGCGGGGAGAAGGUCGGGGAACACCUGGUUAGGAGCAGGAGCAGGAAACAAAUAAGGAAGAAGUAGCCAUAAACCCUCGCUCCCAUAGCUCGCUCGCUGCUCAGGUGUCAGCGCGGACGGGCGCCAAGCCAGGGACCCGUUGGCGCGUUCCCGUGUGGGACAGCGGCUGCGCGGAACAGACAAGACCCCGUUGUCUUUGGAGGGAGUGCUGAGAGUGGGGAGAAAACCGGGCGUCGGCAACAGAAGCAGCUGGUGCGGACACUUUGCAAAGGAAGGCCUGGCAGAGCUCAGUGUAGAAAGUAGUCCCCGCGAAAUAGAAAUGCGCUCUGAUGAUCCCUGAGGAAGUUUCUGCCUCUCUUCCUAGUAAAAUGACGUGAUGUCCGGGUUUCUGUGUGUGUAUGUGGUGCAUUUUCUGAGUAUUUUUCAAGGAUAAAUGUGCUUUUGGUGACAUGAAGCCAAUUCAGUUAAGCCUCAAUUCAAUGGAAUACGUCGGAAGAGCGCGUCGACUUAACCACUGCAAAGUGAGGAGUCAGCCCGACUGCCUCCAGCUCGGAAUUCACGAAUGGGGUGUCUGCAGGGUUGGAAGAGACCAGAGAGGUUAAUCAGUUAAAAACUACAGGCAGAACCCAACAAACGACGGAUGUAUGUAAGCUCCAUGAAGCCAGGACCUCAUCUCUCCAUCCUGUAUCGCUGCAUCCCCAGAACCUGGAGCGAGUAACGGGACAGCACUGCAGGACCGGGACUGGCCAGACCACAGACAUUCCAGGUCAGAAUUUAGAACCACAGGCUUUCCAGACAAGGUUAAUCUCUCCUCCUUUUACAGAGGGAAGGCAAGUGACGGUUCGCAGCCCCUCGGCUGUUCAAGGAGGCCCCAGCCCGCAGCGGCCUGGGAGUCCGAAGGCGUCCUCAAACCUCCUUCCCUCCAAACCCCACCGCCGCCUCAAUCUUCCGAGCUCAGCACUAGCAAAAACCCGGAGAAGUGGAGUCUUCCUAAACAGACACGGUUUCCGGACACAUUCUGGGCCUAGUAGUGCGCCGAUCGCGCAUGCGCAAGGCUGGCCCGUCCCUCCCGCGACCUCUUCCUGGCUUCCGCCUCCAGAGUUCAGACACGUCACCCGUGC